Molecule: long non-coding RNA, 1529 nt
Organism: Zea mays
Lineage: Eukaryota; Viridiplantae; Streptophyta; Magnoliopsida; Poales; Poaceae
Exons: 3
Source: RefSeq, marked validated
CUCAAAAAUUUUCAGCCGCCACCAGCAGCCUUCUCUUCCUCCCCACGUCUCCUUCCUCCUCUUGCCGUGCAGCAGCAAGCACCUCCCUGGCUUCCCUUGCGCAGGGGGCUUUCUUCUCCAUGGGCGCUGGCCAAGAUCACCCCAUGGCGCUUGGCUCCCUGGAACACAGCAGCACGCCAGCGCAGGGCCUUCCCAUGGCUGCGAGCUCCUUCUCCCGGCGAGCGGCUGCAGCAGGGGGUCGUCUCCUCCAUGGCGCGGACGAACUACCUCCCUGCAGGCAAGCAGCAGCCCCCUCAGCUCCUUCUAUGGCGCCCAGUCUGCAUGCACGACCGAGAUCCAUCAGUUCCUAUGUUCCCCAUGGCCGAGCUCGCCCCAUGGACUUGGCUCCUUGGUUCUUCUUUCACGUACGCGCCCUCUCCAACCUGCAGCACGUCCCCUGCUCCACGGCCAGCAGGAAGCCAGCGCCCCUCUGCAGCUCGGCUUCUCCUCUCCCAUGGCCGAGGCCGAGCUUCCCUGGUGCAGGCGCCCCCUUUUCUUCCACCUCUGGCCGGUCUUUUCUGCGCAGCAAGCCGCGCGCAGCAGCAGCAUUGUUCUUCGCCUUGCGUCGUCGUCGAGCUUCGCCACUCUCCUCCCCAUGACCCGCAGCCCUCGCACCCUCUACCCUCCCCAAAAACAGCAAGCCCCCAGCAGCCCCGGAUUCCCUCCGUGUCGCUUGCAUGCCACCCGCUCGAUGUAUUGCGCAGCCACAUUGUCGCUGCUCGCUGCCCGUCAACGUGCAGCCCUUCUGUUUUCUCCAUUGGCACAGCAGCCCCGUCGUCUCCGCGCGCUGCCGGCUCGCUGUUUUGUGGAGCCAAUGGACAGCACGCCGUGAUGCCUGCCGUGUGUUCGCUGUUUUUGCGCAGCCCCAAACAUCGACGUCGUUCACCCCGGUGAGACCGCGACGCUCCUUGUUCGAUUCCGCAUCGACAUUAUUUUCCUAUGAUUAAUUAUGUAUGUGUGCUGCUUUGUUUUAUUUUUGAGGAGGAGAGAACCCCGUGUUUUGCGUGGAGAAGGCAAGCCGCUCGACGCUCGUCGAUGUCGUAGCGAUGCACAAAUCGGAAUCACCGUCGUUCUUGCAAACACCGAUUGGGUUUGUUUAUGGACCGAGAGGUGACGAUCGUGCAAGUGAUGUGGUGCCAACCACAAGCUGCAGUUGGUGGACGUACGGAAGGAUGGUGGACUUAAUCAGUGGAUGCUCGCCAAGCGAGUACCUCCCCCAGCAAACACUAUCUAAGUGUCAAACUAAAGGUACCUCCUUGCUUUGGUUGUUGGUGUGACUUGACCUUCAUCCCUGCCACCGGGAUAGACGGUCGAGUGGGUUACUGCUUCCGCAGGAGAGGACCAGGAGGAGUAGCGUGGCCAGGCUUCGCCAUGUUACUCGGUUUUCUCCGUUAGUUAUCUCCGCUGCAUUAAAAUUUAUGAUUAUUAUUUCUGAAACUCCGAUAAUGUAAUCACUAAUGAUACUUAUUAAAUUUGUGGUAUUAUGCUUU